UUUUGUAGAAUUCCCAUGCCUGUCGCUUCCACCAAGUCAUCUCCGGCUAGGGCAGGCCAUUCGCUCCCUCCGCAAGCACGGGUUUGACAGUUUAAGUGGCGCUCUCAAUUUUACUACUACAAAUUAAGAGCAGAAGAAAGAUUAAUUGGCGGAUUUGGCAUGUGGUGCGCCGCACACAUGGACCUCACUAUGCAUAAAAGAAAUUCAUUUCACAGGAGGAAGUGGAUCAGAUGCUGCUGGGAGCGAGUAGGACCCAGGCACUCAGGCAGCACCAAAUAAAAAAAAAUAAAAAUAAAAAUACAGUGCAUCAACCAUUCAGCCUUUUUCCCUCCUUGAGAGCCAACUAGUGAUAGGAGCAUUUGAUGCCAGCUGGAAUGGAAGGAAGCAUUGUCAUUGGGAAUUUAUUUGUGCAAGGAUCACUCUUUCACUAGCUUACAUCAGGUGACAAACUUAGUGACAGCAAAAAUGAUACAUGAUAUUCCUUUCAUCAAUUCUUCAAGAAAGAAAGAAAGAAGCCCUUCCAUUACGGUUCAAAUUUCCGGAUUUUGCCACACAAACAGGUUAUUGUCAGUAUGGUAACUUCUAUUUACGAGUUAUAACUCUAUUUGUUGCACAACCAAUCUACAAAUAGUGUUAGGGAGACUUCAACCGUGACCAGGAGACCGAAGCUUCAAAUCCACAAAUUGUAAGCAACUUCGUCUAAUAUGUCAUCUAGUAUGAAGUCCCAUAUCACCACAGUGAUCUCUUCACUUUCUGAUCGAAGAUCCAUCCAACUGCCAUCUUUAAGAUCCAUGCUAACUAGCUGGUCUAACGUGCUUGGAAAUUGAUAAUGGAGGUGGCGCUCAACAUGCUUAUUGAUUUCUGAGAUGAGAUUUUGUUCCAUUGGAGGUGCCCUUAUGUUGUGUUUGAGAGAAGAUAAGCAUGGGGGACUUCUGAAGUAUGUACUCUGGAUUUCUGUCACAGCUUCGCAAAUGCAGUCAAAGAGGAGCUUUGUAUCAUCUAUUUGAUCUCCUUGAUGUAGUUCUUCAAACAAGCAAGGGCUGAUUAAUUCAUCCUCUAUAUACCAUACCUCUAAAUUCUGAAAAUCCCUUGGUCCAAUCCAUCAUCUGAGGUGUACUGCGACCUCAAGAUAUCUUUGUGCAAAUCACCUGGAGAUCAUUGGAGGAUCAAAAGAAAUCAUUUAGAUUUUUUGAACAUUUUAUUUUAUCAAUGAUUGUCAACAUCUUCAUGGAAGAACAAAUCGAGAACAGAUACAGGACUGGGUUGCUCUUGCUUUUCGUGGUUUCCCUCGGGAGAAAAUUGUGAUAUCUAGACAAGUAGCAAAAGAAAGGGCUUAACUCCUUGAUCAUUCUAGUUGCUUGGGAACUUUGGAAACAUCGAAAUGAUUACGUUUUCAAUGCUACCUCUCCUGAUGCAAAUGAAAUUGGCAGUGGAAGCAGAGGGCACUUUGUGGUGUGCAGCCGGGGCUAAGGAGCUCCAAGGGUUAGUUUCAGGGGCUAGCUAGGUGCUGCUGUUUUUUUAGGUCCGGUCGUUCUUUGUUUGAGUCAGUGGCGCGUGUGUAUUUAUAAGUUUGUAAGGGGUGGGAUUGGUGUUGUUCUUGUUCUCUUUCUUCUUUAAUGAAAUGAUACACAACUCUUUUGCGUAUUUGAGAAAAAAAAACUGUGAUAUCAGCUCAAUAGACGCACUUGAUCGGGGAGUUGCCGGC
Long non-coding RNA from Phragmites australis (common reed), 1705 nucleotides. RefSeq lists it as uncharacterized. The transcript has 5 exons. The record is from RefSeq and is a predicted model, not a curated record. Lineage: Eukaryota; Viridiplantae; Streptophyta; Magnoliopsida; Poales; Poaceae.